GAGGGUAUAGCUCAGUGGUGGAGUGUGUGCUUAGCAUGCUUGAGGUCCUGGGGUCCAUCCCCAGUACCUCCA
Transfer RNA from Camelus ferus (Wild Bactrian camel), 72 nucleotides. It matches the Rfam family "tRNA". Rfam says of the family: Transfer RNA (tRNA) molecules are approximately 80 nucleotides in length. Their secondary structure includes four short double-helical elements and three loops (D, anti-codon, and T loops). Further hydrogen bonds mediate the characteristic L-shaped molecular structure. tRNAs have two regions of fundamental functional importance: the anti-codon, which is responsible for specific mRNA codon recognition, and the 3' end, to which the tRNAs corresponding amino acid is attached (by aminoacyl-tRNA synthetases). tRNAs cope with the degeneracy of the genetic code in two manners: having more than one tRNA (with a specific anti-codon) for a particular amino acid; and 'wobble' base-pairing, i.e. permitting non-standard base-pairing at the 3rd anti-codon position. The record is from Rfam. Lineage: Eukaryota; Metazoa; Chordata; Mammalia; Artiodactyla; Camelidae.